ACGGGUGAGUAACACGUGGGUAAACCUGCCCAAGAGAUCGGGGAUAACACCGUGGGAAACAGAUGCUAAUACCCGGAUAACAACAGAUGAUGCCUAUCAACUGUUUAAAGAUGGUUCUGCUAUCACUCUUGGGAUGGACCUGCGGUGCAUUAGCUAGUUGGUAGGGGUAACGGGCCUACCCAAGGCGAUGAUGCAUAGCCCGAGUUGAGAGACUGAUCGGGCCACAUUGGGGACUGAGACACGGGCCCAAAAACUCCUACGGGGAGGCAGCAGUAGGGAAUCUUCCACAAUGGACGCAAGUCUGAUGGAGCAACGCCGCGUGAGUGAAGAAGGGUUUCGGCUCGUAAAGCUCUGUUGUUGGUGAAGAAGGACAGGGGUAGUAACUGACCUUUGUUUGACGGUAAUCAAUUAGAAAGUCACGGCUAACUACGUGCCAGCAGCCGCGGUAAU
Molecule: ribosomal RNA, 450 nt
Filed under: uncultured Lactobacillus sp.
Lineage: Bacteria; Bacillati; Bacillota; Bacilli; Lactobacillales; Lactobacillaceae
Description: bacterial SSU rRNA
Rfam family: Bacterial small subunit ribosomal RNA
Source: RNAcentral